CGCUGGCGGCGUGCUUAACACAUGCAAGUCGAACGGAAAGGCCCUGCUUUUGUGGGGUGCUCGAGUGGCGAACGGGUGAGUAACACGUGAGUAACCUGCCCUUGACUUUGGGAUAACUUCAGGAAACUGGGGCUAAUACCGGAUAGGAGCUCCUGCUGCAUGGUGGGGGUUGGAAAGUUUCGGCGGUUGGGGAUGGACUCGCGGCUUAUCAGCUUGUUGGUGGGGUAGUGGCUUACCAAGGCUUUGACGGGUAACCGGCCUGAGAGGGUGACCGGCCACAUUGGGACUGAGAUACGGCCCAGACUCCUACGGGAGGCAGCAGUGGGGAAUAUUGCACAAUGGGCGGAAGCCUGAUGCAGCAACGCCGCGUGCGGGAUGACGGCCUUCGGGUUGUAAACCGCUUUCGCCUGUGACGAAGCGUGAGUGACGGUAAUGGGUAAAGAAGCACCGGCUAACUACGUGCCAGCAGCCGCGGUGAUACGUAGGGUGCGAGCGUUGUCCGGAUUUAUUGGGCGUAAAGGGCUCGUAGGUGGUUGAUCGCGUCGGAAGUGUAAUCUUGGGGCUUAACCCUGAGCGUGCUUUCGAUACGGGUUGACUUGAGGAAGGUAGGGGAGAAUGGAAUUCCUGGUGGAGCGGUGGAAUGCGCAGAUAUCAGGAGGAACACCAGUGGCGAAGGCGGUUCUCUGGGCCUUUCCUGACGCUGAGGAGCGAAAGCGUGGGGAGCGAACAGGCUUAGAUACCCUGGUAGUCCACGCUGUAAACGGUGGGUACUAGGUGUGGGGUCCAUUCCACGGGUUCCGUGCCGUAGCUAACGCUUUAAGUACCCCGCCUGGGGAGUACGGCCGCAAGGCUAAAACUCAAAGGAAUUGACGGGGCCCCGCACAAGCGGCGGAGCAUGCGGAUUAAUUCGAUGCAACGCGUAGAACCUUACCUGGGUUUGACAUGGAUCGGGAGCGGUCAGAGAUGGGUGUGCCUCUUUUGGGGUCGGUUCACAGGUGGUGCAUGGCUGUCGUCAGCUCGUGUCGUGAGAUGUUGGGUUAAGUCCCGCAACGAGCGCAACCCUUGUUCACUGUUGCCAGCACGUUAUGGUGGGGACUCAGUGGAGACCGCCGGGGUCAACUCGGAGGAAGGUGGGGAUGACGUCAAGUCAUCAUGCCCCUUAUGUUCAGGGCUUCACGCAUGCUACAAUGGCUGGUACAGAGAGUGGCGAGCCUGUGAGGGUGAGCGAAUCUCGGAAAGCCGGUCUCAGUUCGGAUUGGGGUCUGCAACUCGACCUCAUGAAGUCGGAGUCGGUAGUAAUCGCAGAUCAGCAACGCUGCGGUGAAUACGUUCCCGGGGCUUGUACACACCGCCCGUCAAGUCAUGAAAGUUGGUAACACCCGAAGCCGGAGGCCUAACCGUUGUGGGGGAGCCGUCGAAGGUGGGACU
RNAcentral lists this ribosomal RNA (1428 nucleotides) under uncultured organism. Its description in RNAcentral is "SSU rRNA". It matches the Rfam family "Bacterial small subunit ribosomal RNA". The record is from RNAcentral.